RNAcentral lists this ribosomal RNA (400 nucleotides) under phytoplankton environmental sample. RNAcentral's name for it is "partial small subunit ribosomal RNA". It matches the Rfam family "Eukaryotic small subunit ribosomal RNA", at positions 587 to 989 of the family's 1831-position model. The record is from RNAcentral.
AGCUCCAAUAGCGUAUACUAAAGUUGUUGCAGUUAAAAAGCUCGUAGUUGAAUUUCUGGUCGUGGCAACCGGUCCGCCCCUCACGGGGUGUGCACCAGGUUUCUGCGGCCAUCCUCGGGGAGAGCACAUCGGGCAUUCAGUUGUCUGGUGUGGGAUCCUCGUCAUUUACUGUGAGCAAAAUAGAGUGUUCAAAGCAGGCUUAGGCCGUUGAAUACAUUAGCAUGGAAUAAUAAGAUAGGACCUUGGUCUAUUUUGUUGGUUUGCAUUCCAAGGUAAUGAUUAAUAGGGAUAGUUGGGGGUAUUCGUAUUCAAUUGUCAGAGGUGAAAUUCUUGGAUUUAUGGAAGACGAACUACUGCGAAAGCAUUUACCAAGGAUGUUUUCAUUAAUCAAGAACGAAAG